This 1264-nucleotide ribosomal RNA is filed under the name Abscondita chinensis. Its description in RNAcentral is "16S ribosomal RNA". The stretch from base 1025 to 1183 matches the Rfam family "Archaeal large subunit ribosomal RNA", at positions 2542 to 2701 of the family's 2987-position model. The record is from RNAcentral. Lineage: Eukaryota; Metazoa; Arthropoda; Insecta; Coleoptera; Lampyridae.
AUUAUAAAUUUAAUUAUUAUUAUUGAUUUUUUAAAGUAUUAUUUUAUUUAUUAUUAUAAAAGAAAAAUUAAUUUUUUAUUAUAGUUUACUAGUAAAGUGAUUGAAUUUAUUUAUAUAUUAAUAAGAAAAAUUUAUUUUUUGUACCUUGUGUAUCAGGGUUGAUUAAUUUUAUAAUUAUUAUUAAUUUUUCUCGAAUUAAGAAGAGCUAAUUAUGUAUAUGUUUAAUUUUUUCAUAAAUUUUCAUAAUAUAUAAUUUGAAAUGAAAUGUUAUUCGUUUCUUAAUAUAUCUAGUUUUUUAAGAAAAGAAUUUAAUUCUCUUAUUAUUUAUUAUUAGUUAAUUUUUAGUUAAUAAUUUUUAGUAUGAAAUAAAUAAAGGGAUAAGCUUUUAUUUUAAUAAUUAAAAAUUUAUUUGGUUUUAUUUUUUGUAUAAUUUAAAUUGUUAAUCAUUUUUAUAAUAUAAUAGUUAAUUUUAUUUAAUUAAUGAUUUAUAUUUAUUUUAAUUUUUUUAUUAAAAAUUUAUGUUUAAUUUUUUAGCUUUUUUAUAAUGAUUAAAUUAGUAGAUAAAUAUGUAUUUUAUUAUUUAUUUUUAAGAUAAUAAAAAGGAACUCGGCAAAUAAAUUUUUCGCCUGUUUAUUAAAAACAUGUCUUUUUGAUUAUAAUUUAAGGUUUAAUCUGCUCAAUGAUUUAUUAAAUUGCCGCAGUAUUUUGACUGUGCAAAGGUAGCAUAAUAAUUAGCUUUUUUAUUGAGAGCUGGAAUGAAUGAUUGGACGAAAAAAUUUCUGUCUCUUUAUUAUUUAUUAUUUAAUUUUACUUUUAAGUUAAAAGGCUUAAAUUUUUUUAAAAGACGAGAAGACCCUAUAGAGUUUUAUUUUUAUUUUUUGAUUAAUUUUUAGAAUUUAAAAUAUUUUAUCAAAUAAAAAAUUUAGUUGGGGUGACUGAAAGAUUAAUUAAACUCUUUUAAUUGAAAUCAUUUAUUUAUGAAUAGAGAAAUUAUUUUUAUAAAUUUAAAAUAAAUUACCUUAGGGAUAACAGCGUUAUUUUUCUUUAGAGUUCUUAUUGAAAGGAAAGAUUGCGACCUCGAUGUUGGAUUAAAAUUUAUUUUUGGUGUAGAAGCUUAAAUAUUAAGUCUGUUCGACUUUUAAAAUUUUACAUGAUCUGAGUUUAAACCGGUGUAAGCCAGGUUGGUUUCUAUCUUUAAAUUUUUAAUAUAUUUUAGUACGAAAGGACCAAAUAUAUAAUAUAUUAUUUUAUUUUGAAUAAUAUU